This 496-nucleotide ribosomal RNA is filed under the name uncultured bacterium. RNAcentral describes it as "partial 16S ribosomal RNA". It matches the Rfam family "Bacterial small subunit ribosomal RNA", at positions 29 to 507 of the family's 1533-position model. The record is from RNAcentral.
AUGAACGCUGGCGGCGUGCCUAAUACCUGCAAGUCGAGCGAACAGACGAGGAGCUUGCUCCUCUGACGUUAGCGGCGGACGGGUGAGUAACACGUGGAUAACCUACCUAUAAGACUGGGAUAACUUCGGGAAACCGGAGCUAAUACCGGAUAAUAUAUUGAACCGCAUGGUUCAAUAGUGAAAGACGGUUUUGCUGUCACUUAUAGAUGGAUCCGCGCCGCAUUAGCUAGUUGGUAAGGUAACGGCUUACCAAGGCAACGAUGCGUAGCCGACCUGAGAGGGUGAUCGGCCACACUGGAACUGAGACACGGUCCAGACUCCUACGGGAGGCAGCAGUAGGGAAUCUUCCGCAAUGGGCGAGAGCCUGACGGAGCAACGCCGCGUGAGUGAUGAAGGUCUUCGGAUCGUAAAACUCUGUUAUUAGGGAAGAACAAAUGUGUAAGUAACUAUGCACGUCUUGACGGUACCUAAUCAGAAAGCCACGGCUAACUACGUG